CUCAGAAGAGGUACGAAGGAAGAAAACACACCUCAGAGCUCUUCCAGAUCUACCAGCCACACAGACUGAGGCCACAGAAAAUGCACAAAAAGAGGGUGAAGGAGAGUGAAUGCUCACAGAGCCACAAGCGCGCCCAAAAAGGGAUGUGAAGCCACCAGAGUGGCUGAAAGACUGUUACGUGAAGAGAAAACUGUUGGGGACCAUACCCAGCAAAAAGAGACUGUACCUAAGUUAAUGUUCAUACUGUGUGAUUUAAUGCUUUCAUACUGUUUCAGGAUGUGAAGUAGCAUGUUAGAGAAUAAUACUGGUUUCCAAAUUGCAUUUCAGUUAUGCUUCAGUGGUUAUGCAUGUUGAGUUCUUGUUCAUGGGAGAGGGGAAGAUGUAGUAGGAUGUCCCUUGGGGGUAUCCGUACCUAUGUAUGACAUGCGAGGGUUAGGUUAGUAAAAGAUGCUGGAGCUAGAACCUCAUUGUUGUGCGUCCUUAUUUUAGAUAAUACUACUGGUACAGUGACCAGAAGAACAUCGACCAUUCAGCUAAACGGCAAAACAAAAGCAGGGAGCAUAUAAAUGCCCACAUCAGAUUCAAGCUUCUGGGAAAAAGCUGCAUCGAUUAUGACAAAGGUCUGCAUAUACAAACUGCGCAACACAAUGAGAAAGUAAUUACAGGAUAAGUUCUGCCAACAAGGGCAACUAUAAGGAGCUUGCAGAGGUGAUGACUACUCCACACCACUACCACUGUCAACUUUCUCAUGACAUGAACUGAAGCCACAUCUCAUGUGCCUACUCAUCUACUGGCACAUUGAAUGUUUUCCCUCCACGCACUUCAAAUCCUGUCCUGCACUGGUCAAGCCUCUGAACACCUCAACUCAUGCCUC
This is a long non-coding RNA of Salmo salar (Atlantic salmon), 874 nucleotides long. RefSeq lists it as uncharacterized. The record is from RefSeq and is a predicted model, not a curated record. Lineage: Eukaryota; Metazoa; Chordata; Actinopteri; Salmoniformes; Salmonidae.